Molecule: transfer RNA, 65 nt
Filed under: Caulobothrium sp. LRP 10376
Lineage: Eukaryota; Metazoa; Platyhelminthes; Cestoda; Tetraphyllidea
Description: tRNA-Phe
Source: RNAcentral
UUUCUCUUAGCUUACAGUUAAAGCAUUAGUUUGAAGCACUAAAGAUAAUUUUUUAUUAGAGCGGC